RNAcentral lists this ribosomal RNA (576 nucleotides) under uncultured bacterium. RNAcentral describes it as "partial 16S ribosomal RNA". It matches the Rfam family "Bacterial small subunit ribosomal RNA", at positions 355 to 923 of the family's 1533-position model. The record is from RNAcentral.
UGGGGAAUUUUGGACAAUGGGCGAAAGCCUGAUCCAGCAAUGCCGCGUGUGUGAAGAAGGCCUUCGGGUUGUAAAGCACUUUUGUCCGGAAAGAAAUCCUUGGCUCUAAUACAGUCGGGGGAUGACGGUACCGGAAGAAUAAGCACCGGCUAACUACGUGCCAGCAGCCGCGGUAAUACGUAGGGUGCAAGCGUUAAUCGGAAUUACUGGGCGUAAAGCGUGCGCAGGCGGUUUGCUAAGACCGAUGUGAAAUCCCCGGGCUCAACCUGGGAACUGCAUUGGUGACUGGCAGGCUAGAGUAUGGCAGAGGGGGGUAGAAUUCCACGUGUAGCAGUGAAAUGCGUAGAGAUGUGGAGGAAUACCGAUGGCGAAGGCAGCCCCCUGGGCCAAUACUGACGCUCAUGCACGAAAGCGUGGGGGAGCAAACAGGAUUAGAUACCCUGGUAGUCCACGCCCUAAGCGAUGUCAACUAGUUGUUGGGGAUUCAUUUCCUUAGUAACGUAGCUAACGCGUGAAGUUGACCGCCUGGGGAGUACGGUCGCAAGAUUAAAACUUAAAUGAAUUGACGGGGUCAUA